GUUUGGUCCACCGCGCACGUCACACUUGUGUGUGUGUACAAGUCCGGUGGCGCCGGCGGGAGAGACCAGUUCUUCAGACAGUAGUUGAGAGGAAUACUAAUGAAAUUUACGCCCCUGGGGACGUGUCCAGUUGUACUCUUUACUUCAGUCGCUUGAGAUGGUGUUGGACAGUGUAAGCUUGACUCUCACCAUGAU
Long non-coding RNA from Ctenopharyngodon idella (grass carp), 195 nucleotides. RefSeq lists it as uncharacterized. Lineage: Eukaryota; Metazoa; Chordata; Actinopteri; Cypriniformes; Xenocyprididae. The record is from RefSeq and is a predicted model, not a curated record. The transcript is spliced from 2 exons.